Molecule: ribosomal RNA, 510 nt
Filed under: Dicranomyia jacobus
Lineage: Eukaryota; Metazoa; Arthropoda; Insecta; Diptera; Limoniidae
Description: partial 16S ribosomal RNA
Rfam family: Bacterial large subunit ribosomal RNA
Source: RNAcentral
GUCUUUUUGAAAUAAAUUUAAAGUCUGACCUGCCCACUGAAAUAUUAAAGGGCCGCGGUAUUUUGACCGUGCAAAGGUAGCAUAAUCAUUAGUUUUUUAAUUGAAAGCUUGUAUGAAUGGUUGGACGAAAUAUUUACUGUCUCAUAAAAAUUUAUAUUUGAAAUUAAUUUUUUUGUUAAAAAGCAAAAAUGUUAUUAAAGGACGAGAAGACCCUAUAGAGCUUUAUAAUUUGAUUAUUUAAUUUUUUAAGAAAAUUUUAAAUUUUAUAAAGAUAAUUAUUUUGUUGGGGUGACAAUAAAAUUUAUAGAACUUUUAUUAUAAAUAAAACAUUGAUUAAUGAGUAUUUGAUCCAUUAUUAAUGAUUAAAAAAUUAAGUUACCUUAGGGAUAACAGCGUAAUUUUUUUUAAGAGUUCAUAUCGACAAAAAAGAUUGCGACCUCGAUGUUGGAUUAAGAGUUAUUUUUAGGUGUAGAAGUUUAAAGUUUAGGUCUGUUCGACCUUUGAAUUCUU